RNAcentral lists this ribosomal RNA (253 nucleotides) under uncultured bacterium. Its description in RNAcentral is "partial 16S ribosomal RNA". It matches the Rfam family "Bacterial small subunit ribosomal RNA", at positions 524 to 776 of the family's 1533-position model. The record is from RNAcentral.
UACGUAGGUGGCAAGCGUUGUCCGGAUUUAUUGGGUUUAAAGGGUGCGUAGGCGGUCUUCUAAGUCAGUUGUGAAAUACGGCAGCUUAACUGUCGAGGUGCAAUUGAUACUGGGAGACUUGAGUACUGAUGAGGUAGGCGGAAUGGACGGUGUAGCGGUGAAAUGCUUAGAUAUCGUCCAGAACACCGAUAGCGAAGGCAGCUUACUAAGGAGUAACUAACGCUGAGGCACGAAAGUGUGGGGAUCAAACAGG